Molecule: small RNA, 455 nt
Filed under: Histoplasma capsulatum
Lineage: Eukaryota; Fungi; Ascomycota; Eurotiomycetes; Onygenales; Ajellomycetaceae
Also listed under: 1 other name
Description: hypothetical RNA
Source: RNAcentral
AUCUACCACUGUCAAUCUAUCUAUCACUGCUAAUCUAUCGCUGCUAAUCUAUUGCUGUCAAUCUAUCUAUCACUGCCAAUCUAUCUAUCACUGCUAAUCUAUCGCUGCUAAUCUAUUGCUGCUAAUCUAUUGCUGCUAAUCUAUCACUGCUAAUCUAUCGCUGCUAAUCUAUUGCUGCUAAUCUAUCACUGCCAAUCUAUCUACCGCUGCCAAUCUAUCUACCGCUGCCAACCUACCUACCGCUGCCAAUCUAUCUAUCGCUGCCAAUCUAUAUAGAGUAAAUCAUGGUCCCAUUUGAUCCCAUUUUGUAAAAUGAAAUCAAAUGAAAUCAGAAUCACUAAUUUAUUAGUAAAACAUGAUCUGAGACUAGAUUUAUAAUAUAAACAGUGUAAAGUAACUAAUUUGCUAAAUACUAUAUGGAAUCAGAACUAAGAUAUCUAAUAAUAAGACUGAGG